AUGGCCACACCCAUGGCCUAUGGAGGUUCCCCGGCUAGGGGUCAAAACGGAGCUGCAGGAGCUGGCCUACGCCACAGCCACAGCAGCACAGAUCCGAGCCACGUUUGUGAACUAUAUCGCAGCUCACAGCAACGCGGGAUCCUUAACCCACUGAGUGAGGCCAGGAUCAAACCUGCAUCCUCAUGGAUACUAGUCGGGUUCAUUAACCGCGGAGCCACAAUGGGAACUCUAGGAAGUUUUCUAAUUAGAUACCACUUUCCAUUUAUUUCUAUAGCUCUGGGUUCUGACUUCAGUAGGAAAGGGGUCUGUGUUCAUUGUCCCCCACAGCUGCCUCUGAAGUGGACAUUAGGGGAUAUGCCCUCAUGAGGGUGGUACAGGUUAUUUUGGGAACAUGUUACUAUCUAUGGAAGAGUGGGAACUCAAGUAUAUUCAACUUUGAAGAAAAAAAAAUGUAGUCCCAGCUUUUGGUGUUCUAAGCAAUACCUAUGCUACGAAAUCUUAAUAAGCUUCUGAUCCUUUUCUAUCAGUUAGCUCCCUGUGCCAAUAUUCACACACAGAGUGUUUUUCUAGAUAGACGUCUCAAAUCUGCUGUAUCUUAGUGCCUCCUUCAACCCCACUGCACCUCUCUCUCUACUUACUGGUCAGCUACUUGGAAGCUACAGACUUAGAAGACCAUAACCUCAACUUGAUCUUUAUCACAAAAUGGAUGCAAGGAGUUCGUAUCUCUUAAAGAUGUUUUUUUCCUUUUAUUUCCUGCAUCCAGGAGCAGUAAGAUUUUCUCAUUCUUCAGUGUUUAAGUGUUCUAGGCUUUCUCCAAUCCCUUUUGGUCUGUUUACAAAAUGGCCAUUUUUUUCCUGUGAUCUUUUCUUUUCCCUGUAAUCUCUUGCCAAAUGCCUUUAAUAGUAGCCAAAAAUCACUAAGAGUUUUCAUCUUUCCAACUACUUCUAGAUGCCUAUAAAGAGUAGCACACCUAGCUUCUAUGAGUCUAUAAUGUAAUUGGAGAAGUAGAAUAUAUAGAUUUCACUGUAAUUAAAAACAUUAGUUUCAAUAUUUACAUAUUGUCAUUAAAACAUUAGUUUCAAUAUUUACUAAAUGCCUAGUACUUGAUUCAGAAAUUUAGUUCUAUUCCAGUUCAGGGAAGGAAAUAGUCACCAUCUCCAUUCAAACAAUGGAAACCACUGCAGAUUUGUGAGGGAAAGGGCAGCAUAACCAUAAGAGAGUUUUAGAGGACUUCUGGGUAACUAAGUCUUUGAUGUAAAUGAAAAAUGUGAUAUUGAUAGUCUGUAAAUUUAGGCUACACCCCGCCUGGGGCUUUAGCCUCAUUUUGCAAUGAUGUUGGAAUGAAGAAUAUCAACAAUACUUUACAGGCAGAGAUGAUCCAUGCAGUGAUCAGGUUUCUCAUUUAAUCUCUCAUUAGCUAGGAAAUAUCAGAUAGUCUGCUGAGGAAAAAAAAAGAAGGCGAUAUUCUUACACCCUGCGUGUGUUUAUAAAUAUCUACUGAUACUUUAAGAUGAACAUUGAAAAUAAUUCACUAAAUGAUAGCUGUAAUGAAGUGUGAAAUAAAUUAUCGUCUUUGUUGGUGAUAAAGAUUAUUGGGCUGGGCAAAAAGCAUAUUUAUCACAUAGCCUUGACAGAACAGACCUGCUAUAAUAAAGGAACUAAAGAACAAACAAGCUGCAAGCCAAACAUAGGAAAUUAAUUUGCUAUUUAAAUCUCCAUGGUAGAUGUGACUAAGACACCUGUCAUCAGGGUCAGAAGGUGCCUUUGAGGACAUUUGGAUUCACAGACAGGAGCUCAGGGAUCCGAUCUAGCAAUGCCAACCUUCAGCUGCUUCCUCGGAGGUAAGGAAGGCACCUUUUAGUGGAGGGGUUUUCUUAGGACUUGGGUCCUAAAUGUGACCACCAUGGAUCAAAAUUCAAUUAUUUUGAGGUUAAAAAAUUAUCCUAGGAGUUCCCGUCGUGGCACAGUGGUUAACGAAUCCGACUAGGAACCAUGAGGUUGCGGGUUCAAUCCCUGCCCUUGCUCAGUGGGUUAACGAUCCGGCGUUGCCGUGAGCUGUGGUGUAGGUUGCAGACGCGGCUCGAAUCCCACGUUGCUGUGGCUCUGGCUCUUACUUAAAAUGAAUUUAUGACUGUAGGUCUCAGUUAAGUAGCAUACAAGUUAAGGCGCAUAUUUUUUUUCUUUUAAGAAUAAUGAGAUAGGAAGAUUGAUAUGCCCACAAUUUCUCUUAGGAAGGGCACUGCCUUUGUUGGAGAGAAUUAUUUACUACACGCCUUGUAUAACAUGGGAGCAGUUCCCUUUUCUCCCUCUGGAGCCUGGGAGUUGUCUCACACUAAGAUGAGAACAUGUGUUAAGCUUUCUGAAUAGAAAG
RNAcentral lists this long non-coding RNA (2371 nucleotides) under Sus scrofa (pig). Its description in RNAcentral is "lncRNA (ENSSSCG00015007160.1)". Lineage: Eukaryota; Metazoa; Chordata; Mammalia; Artiodactyla; Suidae. The record is from RNAcentral.